UUUUUAUAUGCAGGCUGAUGUAUUUUUAGCCCCACGGAUCAAUGUUGCCACUACAAGGUUCAAUAUUGAAAUGUGAUUAUCAAAAGCAGUGGGCCAUCAUUGAAAGAUUACCCUUGUAGUGAGUCCAAUCAAGGCUGACAAGCUAAAGAAGUCACUGGAGGAUGAAAUUCAUUUUCUCAAGGGAAGGGUUUUAGAACUUGAAAGUGAUCUUGUGUCAAAGUCCACAGAAGUAACAUCUGCAGUUUCAGGGAAAGAAGAAGAUCUAUCUUCUGCAUUUGCUAAAAUUGAUCAUCUGAAGGAAGAAAAUUCUGUAAAAACAU
Magnolia sinica is the source of this 320-nucleotide long non-coding RNA. RefSeq lists it as uncharacterized. Lineage: Eukaryota; Viridiplantae; Streptophyta; Magnoliopsida; Magnoliales; Magnoliaceae. The transcript has 3 exons. The record is from RefSeq and is a predicted model, not a curated record.